GCGAACCAUCGAGUCUUUGAACGCAAGUUGCGCCCGAGGCCACCCGGCCGAGGGCACGCCUGCCUGGGCGUCAC
RNAcentral lists this ribosomal RNA (74 nucleotides) under Danthoniastrum compactum. RNAcentral describes it as "5.8S ribosomal RNA". It matches the Rfam family "5.8S ribosomal RNA", at positions 84 to 154 of the family's 154-position model. Rfam says of the family: 5.8S ribosomal RNA (5.8S rRNA) is a component of the large subunit of the eukaryotic ribosome. It is transcribed by RNA polymerase I as part of the 45S precursor that also contains 18S and 28S rRNA. RNAcentral also lists the same sequence under 2 other names. Lineage: Eukaryota; Viridiplantae; Streptophyta; Magnoliopsida; Poales; Poaceae. The record is from RNAcentral.